Eublepharis macularius is the source of this 1586-nucleotide long non-coding RNA. RefSeq lists it as uncharacterized. The transcript has 3 exons. The record is from RefSeq and is a predicted model, not a curated record. NCBI's taxonomy places the organism in Eukaryota, Metazoa, Chordata, Lepidosauria, Squamata, Eublepharidae.
ACUGCUAUUACAAACAAACAACUUUUCGCGAUCUUUCCGCCGCUUCCCACACUCCUUCCCUUCGCGUUGUUAUCUCACCAACCACAGAGAAAAGCAGACAGGGAAGUGCCGGCUCUGGAGUACCUUGAGAGAGAACAGGGAGUCACCAAAACACAAGAAAUGCCAGAGUAGUGCAAUUAGGAUCAUAAAAGGAAUAAAUUAAGAAGCACGUGCCAUUGCUCUACAGAGAAAAGAAAUAAUACUCCAAUACCAGGAAUAAGAUCUGAUAAUUAAAGAUCAAUUCAGGAAUGCUGCAUUCACCAGGAAAAAACAGGAAGUAAAGAAUUAAGAAGAGAAAAAGCAGCUGGGAAACAAAGCAGCAAAAUUUAAAGGGACAGUAUUCCAGAAAAACGUCAAUUAGACUUUGCUAUCCACACUGACAUUGCACCAACAUUUUGACUUUCUUUUAAUUACCGCAAAUCAUAUCUGAAGAUAGAUGAAACGACAACGAAGUACGUGUUAUCUGGAUUCUCCAUAAAAACAAUGAAGGAAUCAUAUAUUGUCGAACCAAUGAAGUAAUCAUGUUCAUUACUGACUAAAUACCUAGUAUGGAAGUAAAGCAGGCCCAACAAUGUUAACAUCAGAUGCUCCAAAAUGCUCCACACACACACACUCAAAACUCACCCAGCAUAAGGACACCGUUGCGAUGGGCAGCAUUGGUCCAGACCACUGGUGGAAUGGUAACCGUAUGAUGGCUGAAGUAUACAAAGAUGUCGAUGUAACACCAGUGAUAGAAUACAAAAGGGUCAAUGACCUCAGACCCCUGGAUGAACCUGCCCACAGUAUAAAGAGAGAGAUUUUGUCAGGAAUAGGUAAUCAGCAAGGAUCUAUAUCACACAUGUCAAAGUAGAGCUUCCGUAGAGCAGGAAAGUGUUAUACUCGUAGUACUCAAAGUAGCUGAGGAUGCUAUCAUCUCCUGAAGCUAGGGCGCCACAGAGCCAUUCUCUCUCAAGAGACUCUAUAAUGACUGGAGUUCCCCAGGCACAUACAAAAAUUAAAUUUAAUUCCCUGUUCUUCUUGUAAAGGGCACAUCCAUAAGCCAGUUUUUCAGGCUUUUCAUUCAGUGCUUUCUAAGUUAAAUGGGGAGGACAGGAUGCAAAUAAAGUUCGGCUUCGCAAAAGCGACUAUGGACUCGCAGCCCAGCUGCUGAAGUACAACCUUCAUAGGCUACGUUGGUUUUGCAGGGGGACAGGGGAAGUGUGAUGUUACAGGGAUUGCACACACAAUGGUACACCACAGAAGUGUGAACCAGGAAGCUCCCAGUCCUCACCACAGUCACGCAAGCAACUGUUUGCUCCAUUUCAGCCCUCCUCUCCCUCCAUGCACCAGCCUCAAUAUGACGAUAACAACAUAGAUGUAUUUUACAGGGCCAGCAGAACGUCUGGGAGUUAAUGAAUAUAAAAUACUAUGAAUACCUGAAAUGGGCAAUCUAAAUAAGUUCUAUAGAAAUGCUAGGCAUUAUUGCACUGAAUGUACAUCAGACUCCUUUCACCAUUAUAUGGAUGCCCCCAAGGGGACCAUGGCUCACUCAAAUAUCCCACCAAGAC